AGGCCUAACACAUGCAAGUCGAGCGGCAGCGACUUAACUGAACCUUCGGGGAACGUUAAGGGCGGCGAGCGGCGGACGGGUGAGUAAUGCCUGGGAAUAUGCCCUGAUGUGGGGGAUAACUAUUGGAAACGAUAGCUAAUACCGCAUAAUCUCUUCGGAGCAAAGAGGGGGACCUUCGGGCCUCUCGCGUCAGGAUUAGCCCAGGUGGGAUUAGCUUGUUGGUGAGGUAAUGGCUCACCAAGGCAACGAUCCCUAGCUGGUCUGAGAGGAUGAUCAGCCACACUGGAACUGAGACACGGUCCAGACUCCUACGGGAGGCAGCAGUGGGGAAUAUUGCACAAUGGGGGAAACCCUGAUGCAGCCAUGCCGCGUGUGUGAAGAAGGCCUUCGGGUUGUAAAGCACUUUCAGUAGGGAGGAAGGUAGUGUAGUUAACACCUGCAUUAUUUGACGUUACCUACAGAAGAAGCACCGGCUAACUCCGUGCCCAGCCAGCCGC
This 497-nucleotide ribosomal RNA is filed under the name Photobacterium damselae subsp. damselae. RNAcentral describes it as "bacterial SSU rRNA". It matches the Rfam family "Bacterial small subunit ribosomal RNA", at positions 44 to 518 of the family's 1533-position model. Lineage: Bacteria; Pseudomonadati; Pseudomonadota; Gammaproteobacteria; Vibrionales; Vibrionaceae. The record is from RNAcentral.